Molecule: transfer RNA, 69 nt
Filed under: Bambusiphaga citricolorata
Lineage: Eukaryota; Metazoa; Arthropoda; Insecta; Hemiptera; Delphacidae
Description: tRNA-Gln
Source: RNAcentral
UAUAAAACGUUGUAAAUGUGCAUAAAGAAUUUUGAUUUCUUAGGUAUUAGUUGAUUCUAUUUUUUAUAA